AGUGAACGCUGGCGGUAGGCCUAACACAUGCAAGUCGAACGGCAGCACAGUAAGAGCUUGCUCUUACGGGUGGCGAGUGGCGGACGGGUGAGGAAUACAUCGGAAUCUACUUUUUCGUGGGGGAUAACGUAGGGAAACUUACGCUAAUACCGCAUACGACCUACGGGUGAAAGCAGGGGAUCUUUGGACCUUGCGCGAUUGAAUGAGCCGAUGUCGGAUUAGCUAGUUGGCGGGGUAAAGGCCCACCAAGGCGACGAUCCGUAGCUGGUCUGAGAGGAUGAUCGGCACACUGGAAAGUGAAACACGUUCCGACCCCCUCGGGGGGGAGGCGGGGGGAAUUUUGGGAAAAGGGGGGAAACCCUACACCGGACAUCCGGGGGGGGGAAAAAAGCCCUUGGGGUUGAAAAGCCUUUUUGUUGGGAAAAAAAAGGGGGAGGUUAAUACCCCGCUGUUCUGAGGGUCCCAAAAAAAAAAGCACCGGCAAACUUCGG
This 491-nucleotide ribosomal RNA is filed under the name uncultured bacterium. RNAcentral describes it as "partial 16S ribosomal RNA". It matches the Rfam family "Bacterial small subunit ribosomal RNA", at positions 29 to 506 of the family's 1533-position model. The record is from RNAcentral.